Salmo salar (Atlantic salmon) is the source of this 93-nucleotide non-coding RNA. The record is from Rfam. NCBI's taxonomy places the organism in Eukaryota, Metazoa, Chordata, Actinopteri, Salmoniformes, Salmonidae.
GGCCCUGUGGCUCAGUUGGUAGAGCAUGGUGUUUGCAACGCCAGCAUGGUGUUGCAACGCUAGGGUUGUGGGUUCGAUUCCCAUGGGGGGCCA